GGUGGGGAUGCGUCUGAUUAGCUUGUUGGCGGGUAACGGCCCACCAAGGCGACGAUCAGUAGGGGUUCUGAGAGGAAGGUCCCCCACAUUGGAACUGAGACACGGUCCAAACUCCUACGGGAGGCAGCAGUGAGGAAUAUUGGUCAAUGGGCGAGAGCCUGAACCAGCCAAGUAGCGUGCAGGAUGACGGCCCUAUGGGUUGUAAACUGCUUUUACGCGGGGAUAAAGUGCGUGACGUGUCUCGCAUUGCAGGUACCGCGUGAAUAAGGACCGGGCUAAUUCCGUGCCAGCAGCCGCGGUAAAU
This 304-nucleotide ribosomal RNA is filed under the name uncultured Prevotella sp. Its description in RNAcentral is "bacterial SSU rRNA". It matches the Rfam family "Bacterial small subunit ribosomal RNA", at positions 224 to 525 of the family's 1533-position model. Lineage: Bacteria; Pseudomonadati; Bacteroidota; Bacteroidia; Bacteroidales; Prevotellaceae. The record is from RNAcentral.